AAGUCGUAACAAGGUCUCCGUUGGUGAACCAGCGGAGGGAUCAUUACUGAGUACUACACUCUCUACCCUUUGUGAACUAUUAUACCUGUUGCUUCGGCGGCGCCCGCAAGGGUGCCCGCCGGUCUCAUCAGAAUCUCUGUUUUCGAACCCGACGAUACUUCUGAGUGUUCUUAGCGAACUGUCAAAACUUUUAACAACGGAUCUCUUGGCUCCAGCAUCGAUGAAGAACGCAGCGAAACGCGAUAUGUAAUGUGAAUUGCAGAAUUCAGUGAAUCAUCGAAUCUUUGAACGCACAUGGCGCCUUCCAGUAUCCUGGGAGGCAUGCCUGUCCGAGCGUCGUUUCAACCCUCGAGCCCCUGUGGCCCGGCGUUGGGGAUCUGCCACGGCAGGCCCCUAAAACCAGUGGCGGACCCGAAGGGCCCUCUCCUUUGCGCAGUAGCAUUCGCCUCGCAUCGGGAGUCCUCGGCGUCCUGCCUCUAAACCCCCACAAGCCCGCUUCGGCGGCACCAAGGUUGACCUCGGAUCAGGUAGGAAUACCCGCUGAACUUAA
RNAcentral lists this ribosomal RNA (550 nucleotides) under uncultured fungus. Its description in RNAcentral is "eukaryotic LSU rRNA". The stretch from base 186 to 339 matches the Rfam family "5.8S ribosomal RNA". Lineage: Eukaryota; Fungi. The record is from RNAcentral.